CAGCAGCCACGGUAAUACAGAGACUGCAAGCGUUAUUCGGAUUCACUGGGCGUAAAGGGUGCGCAGGCGGCCAUGUGUGUGAGGCGUGAAAGCCCGAUGCUUAACAUCGGAAUUGCACCUCAAACUACAUGGCUAGAGCAUUGGAGAGGGUAGCAGAAUUCAUGGUGUAGCAGUGAAAUGCGUAGAUAUCAUGAGGAAUACCAGAGGCGAAGGCGGCUACCUGGACAAUUGCUGACGCUCAGGCACGAAAGCGUGGGGAGCAAAAGGGAUUAGAUACCCCAGUAGUCCUGUCUCUUAUACA
Molecule: ribosomal RNA, 301 nt
Filed under: uncultured bacterium
Lineage: Bacteria
Description: partial 16S ribosomal RNA
Rfam family: Bacterial small subunit ribosomal RNA
Source: RNAcentral